RNAcentral lists this ribosomal RNA (253 nucleotides) under uncultured bacterium. RNAcentral's name for it is "partial 16S ribosomal RNA". It matches the Rfam family "Bacterial small subunit ribosomal RNA", at positions 524 to 776 of the family's 1533-position model. The record is from RNAcentral.
UACGUAGGUGGCGAACGUUAUCCGGAAUUACUGGGCGUAAAGGGUCUGUAGGCGGUCUGAAAGGUCUGGCGUGACAGUUCUCGGCUUAACUGAGAGAGUGCGUUGGAAACCGGUAGACUAGAAUCACGUCGAGGUCGGUGGAAUUCCCGGUGUAGUGGUGGAAUGCGUAGAGAUCAUGAGGAAGACCAGUGGCGAAGGCGGGUCUCUGGACAGUUCCUGACACUGAGGCACGAAGGCCAGGGGAGCAAACGGG